GAUCNGGCUCAGGAUGAACGCUAGCUACAGGCUUAACACAUGCAAGUCGAGGGGCAGCAUGUUGGUUGCUUGCAACCAAUGAUGGCGACCGGCGCACGGGUGAGUAACGCGUAUCCAACCUACCCUUGUCCAUCGGAUAACCCGUCGAAAGGCGGCCUAACACGAUAUGCGGUUCACAGCAGGCAUCUAACGUGAACGAAAUGUGAAGGAGAAGGAUGGGGAUGCGU
Molecule: ribosomal RNA, 227 nt
Filed under: uncultured bacterium
Lineage: Bacteria
Description: partial 16S ribosomal RNA
Rfam family: Bacterial small subunit ribosomal RNA
Source: RNAcentral